This is a long non-coding RNA of Pocillopora damicornis (cauliflower coral), 735 nucleotides long. The record is from RefSeq and is a predicted model, not a curated record. Lineage: Eukaryota; Metazoa; Cnidaria; Anthozoa; Scleractinia; Pocilloporidae.
UUUUUUUUUUUUUUUUUUUCCUCCGCCACAAAAUGGAAAAAUUGCGCAAUAGUACCCAGAGGUCAUUGGGCCCUCAACACCGUGACAACUAACUGUGAUCCAAUGAGGUGUUCACAUGCUGAUCACGCGUGUUAUCUUGAUAAUGAUUGACGUUGUCAUGCACAGACAGGGCCGGGUCACAUGACGAAUCACGAGAUUUUGCUUAUAAAACUCUUUGGUCGGUUGUUUUGUGUUUCAACGUAUUUGGAUUGCGAUCUCCUGGAGCAUUAUGGCGCAAAUGCGCAAAAUACUUACAGACGCAUAUAGAAGUCGUAUUAAUCGCGGCUAAUCCACACUGAGAGAUGUUAUUGAGCGGUAAUUUUGGAACGGAUUGAGUCGCGAACUCUUGAAAGCCAUGAAAGCCUUGAAUGCCUUGUAUGCUUAGUAUGCCAAUGUCUUAGUUGAAAAACGUUCACUUGUUGUAAAAAGCAAAAUCUGAAAUCUGAAACCAAACUGCUUAUACUCCAUGCAAUCUAUUGAACAACACUACUACCGUGAGACUGAAGAACAUAACUAUAAUGGAUACAAACUGCUCGUGAAGAAAGACAUGUUGGAUUCACUUGAUGGCAAGGAACGUAGCUACGAUAACAGUACGAAUGGUAUUAAUUUCACGAUCAGAAAGGUGAAUCUUAUGUUUGUUUUCAUUGUAGUUGUAUGGAUAUUCUUUUUUUAAUAAAUACGUGAUCCAAAACCCUG